AGCCUGUGAUUGGCUUAGAGGAGGGGUGGAGAAAGGACAACACGUUGCCCAGGAUAUAUUUAGUUGAAGGGCAGCUUGGGACGUGCUUAGACAAGGGAGCUUUUGUCUUUAUGCUCAAGUGAGCUGUUACACUCACACACACCCACACACACACCCCACACACACCACCCCUCCUCCACCCAUUCCUCAAGGGUUGAACACCUUAAGCCACAUACUGAUUUGCUUCCCACCUCUUCCGCGGAGGAUGUUUUUCAUCUGAGAAUUUAGAAUUUUCUGGGGUUUGUUAUAGAAGAAACUGAACAACCCCUCUGCAUAACUGACUCCAAUUCAAAGCACAAACGUUUAUUGGAAGGCACCAUUUCUAAAUCAGAUGAUUUCCUAAGGUGCCCGUUAAUGAAAGAUGAACUUCUGCACUGCUGAGCACAGCUUCCUUGCAACAGAUUACUGACGAGCCAUGUAAUGGGCCCUCUUCUGUCCUCCUCUGAACUGGCUGAGAACUGCUACCUUGGUGCAAGGCUUCACAACCAAUAUCUUUCCUUACUCUUGGAUGAAGAUCUAAGAGUGGAGAUCCUGGAUCAUAUGACAAGUGGAGUCAUUUCAAAAUGUAUCCCACCACUUUGACCACUCUCCCUUUAGAGAGCUGGGAUCGUCGUCAUUGAAUAAAGUGUGAGAGUCACGGCAGCUCAGCCAGUACCCUUUUCAGCAUUGCUGCACUAGCUUGAUUACUGACGCAGAAGCAUUGGAGUUUGCCUUCUUGGAAAAGUACUUUCAGAUGCCUCAGAAAUUGGCAAGAAGUAGAGACUCCUGCCCCUUCUGAACUGUGGCAGCCAUGGAUUUUUACACCCAAGAAUGUAUCACCUGCCUGGUGUUGGACAGAUCCUGAGCACUUGAGACAUCUGUUCCUGUAUUACCAUGAGCAACUGACAACUGAAGAAGAGAUCUCUAGAAAUACUGGGUUACUUAGUGACAAGCAGGUGGCUUUCACCUGUAUUUCAUUUUCUCUUAUACAAGUACCUGUUUUUUAAUUGAUCUCAAUAAAAUGUUGAUAAGGGAAAAAAA
This is a long non-coding RNA of Echinops telfairi (small Madagascar hedgehog), 1059 nucleotides long. RefSeq lists it as uncharacterized. Lineage: Eukaryota; Metazoa; Chordata; Mammalia; Afrosoricida; Tenrecidae. The record is from RefSeq and is a predicted model, not a curated record. The transcript is spliced from 3 exons.